RNAcentral lists this ribosomal RNA (253 nucleotides) under uncultured bacterium. RNAcentral describes it as "partial 16S ribosomal RNA". It matches the Rfam family "Bacterial small subunit ribosomal RNA", at positions 524 to 776 of the family's 1533-position model. The record is from RNAcentral.
UACGAAGGGGGCUAGCGUUGUUCGGAAUUACUGGGCGUAAAGCGCACGUAGGCGGCAUUCCAAGUUGGAGGUGAAAUCCCCGGGCUUAACCUGGGAACUGCCUCCAAAACUGGGAAGCUCGAGUCCGAGAGAGGUGAGUGGAAUUUCCAGUGUAGAGGUGAAAUUCGUAGAUAUUUGAAAGAACACCAGUGGCGAAGGCGGCUCACUGGGCCAUUACUGACACUGAGGUGCGAAAGCGUGGGUAGCAAACAGG